This 496-nucleotide ribosomal RNA is filed under the name uncultured bacterium. RNAcentral's name for it is "partial 16S ribosomal RNA". It matches the Rfam family "Bacterial small subunit ribosomal RNA", at positions 29 to 507 of the family's 1533-position model. The record is from RNAcentral.
AUGAACGCUGGCGGCGUGCCUAAUACAUGCAAGUCGCGCGAACAGAUGAAGAGCUUGCUCCUCUGACGUUAGCGGCGGACGGGUGAGUAACACGUGGAUAACCUACCUAUAAGACUGGGAUAACUUCGGGAAACCGGAGCUAAUACCGGAUAAUAUAUUGAACCGCAUGGUUCAAUAGUGAAAGACGGUUUUGCUGUCACUUAUAGAUGGAUCCGCGCCGCAUUAGCUAGUUGGUAAGGUAACGGCUUACCAAGGCAACGAUGCGUAGCCGACCUGAGAGGGUGAUCGGCCACACUGGAACUGAGACACGGUCCAGACUCCUACGGGAGGCAGCAGUAGGGAAUCUUCCGCAAUGGGCGAAAGCCUGACGGAGCAACGCCGCGUGAGUGAUGAAGGUCUUCGGAUCGUAAAACUCUGUUAUUAGGGAAGAACAAAUGUGUAAGUAACUAUGCACGUCUUGACGGUACCUAAUCAGAAAGCCACGGCUAACUACGUG